Molecule: long non-coding RNA, 380 nt
Organism: Panthera uncia (snow leopard)
Lineage: Eukaryota; Metazoa; Chordata; Mammalia; Carnivora; Felidae
Exons: 3
Source: RefSeq, a predicted model, not a curated record
CAGCCCAGAGCCCCACGCGCAGCUCAAACUCAGGGACCGCGAGAUCGUGACCUGAGCUGAAGUCGGACGUUUAACCGACUGAGCCACCCAGGCGCCCCAGUAUUUUUUCAUUCUUAAGAGGGGGAAAGGCCAAGAUUAGGCAAAGAGUCCUAAGGGGUAACUUCAAUUCAUGUCCGUCAAAACACAACCUGAGAAAGACAAAGAAACAUGAAGGGCAAAUAUUUGAUAACAUUAUAUUAGUCUGAACGUGAGCUACGGCAACUAUAUUCCACCUGCAGUCUGGAGAGAGUUAUGCCACAUGCAAGCAAAAUCAGAGGAAAAAUAUUUUUCAAAAAUCCUCCUAAUGAGUCAAAAGAAAUGGCGUCCAUGAGCUUGAAAGG